AAGCAACCAGUAGCCUGCUAUUCAAUGGAAUGGCUGUGUGUUGUUUUUCCAGAGUUCCCACCAUAAAGCCAGAGAAUUCCAGAAUUUGCUUUGAUGACAAAGUUUGAAUACAAAACCGCCGCGCCACCUUCAUGUUUAAGUGAGCACAACACAAGCUAAGGUGUCUGGAGAGAGGGAAAAGCAGUAGAUGCUCAGAUGACAACAGAGACCGUCUACAGAAGCAAUAAGGCCCCAUCUAUCCCAAACCACCAGACAUGUAUUCUUGUUGUACUGAGAUGUUCUGUGUUAUGGAUGUACCAGUUUGUGUGCGUCACGUACAGGAAACUGCCAAAAUAAAGUAAAUGAGGGAUAAAAGAG
Long non-coding RNA from Oncorhynchus tshawytscha (Chinook salmon), 357 nucleotides. RefSeq lists it as uncharacterized. The transcript is spliced from 2 exons. NCBI's taxonomy places the organism in Eukaryota, Metazoa, Chordata, Actinopteri, Salmoniformes, Salmonidae. The record is from RefSeq and is a predicted model, not a curated record.